RNAcentral lists this ribosomal RNA (251 nucleotides) under uncultured microorganism. RNAcentral's name for it is "partial small subunit ribosomal RNA". It matches the Rfam family "Bacterial small subunit ribosomal RNA", at positions 524 to 774 of the family's 1533-position model. The record is from RNAcentral.
UACGUAGGUGGCAAGCGUUGUCCGGAUUUACUGGGCGUAAAGGGAGCGUAGGUGGAUAUUUAAGUGGGAUGUGAAAUACUCGGGCUUAACCUGGGUGCUGCAUUCCAAACUGGAUAUCUAGAGUGCAGGAGAGGAAAGGAGAAUUCCUAGUGUAGCGGUGAAAUGCGUAGAGAUUAGGAAGAAUACCAGUGGCGAAGGCGCCUUUCUGGACUGUAACUGACACUGAGGCUCGAAAGCGUGNGAGACACAGU